Molecule: ribosomal RNA, 468 nt
Filed under: uncultured bacterium
Lineage: Bacteria
Description: partial 16S ribosomal RNA
Rfam family: Bacterial small subunit ribosomal RNA
Source: RNAcentral
GACGAACGCUGGCGGCGUGCUUAAUACAUGCAAGUCGAACGGAAAGGCCCUGCUUUUGUGGGGUGCUCGAGUGGCGAACGGGUGAGUAACACGUGAGUAACCUGCCCUUGACUUUGGGAUAACUUCAGGAAACUGGGGCUAUUACCGGAUAGGAGCUCCUGAUGCAUGGUGGGGGUUGGAAAGUUUCGGCGGUUGGGGAUGGACUCGCGGCUUAUCAGCUUGUUGGUGGGGUAGUGGCUUACCAAGGCUUUGACGGGUAGCCGGCCUGAGAGGGUGACCGGCCACAUUGGGACUAAGAUACGGCCCAGACUCCUACGUGAGGCAACAGUGGAGAAUAUGGCACAAUAGGCGGAAGCCUGAUGCAGCAACGCCGCGUGCGGGAUGACGGCCUUCGGGUUGUAAACCGCUGUCGCCUGUGACGAAGCGUGAGUGACGGUAAUGGGUAAAGAAGCACCGGCUAACUACGUG